UAGCUGGUAUUUGGGAGCCCCGGCCCAGA
RNAcentral lists this small RNA (29 nucleotides) under Bombyx mori (domestic silkworm). Its description in RNAcentral is "ovarian small RNA-22531". Lineage: Eukaryota; Metazoa; Arthropoda; Insecta; Lepidoptera; Bombycidae. The record is from RNAcentral.